GAUGAACGCUGGCGGCGUGCCUAAUACAUGCAAGUCGAGCGAACAGACGAGGAGCUUGCUCCUCUGACGUUAGCGGCGGACGGGUGAGUAACACGUGGAUAACCUACCUAUAAGACUGGGAUAACUUCGGGAAACCGGAGCUAAUACCGGAUAAUAUAUUGAACCGCAUGGUUCAAUAGUGAAAGACGGUUUUGCUGUCACUUAUAGAUGGAUCCGCGCCGCAUUAGCUAGUUGGUAAGGUAACGGCUUACCAAGGCAACGAUGCGUAGCCGACCUGAGAGGGUGAUCGGCCACACUGGAACUGAGACACGGUCCAGACUCCUACGGGAGGCAGCAUGAGGGAAUCUUCCGCAAUGGGCGAAAGCCUGACGGAGCAACGCCGCGUGAGUGAUGAAGGUCUUCGGAUCGUAAAACUCUGUUAUUAGGGAAGAACAAAUGUGUAAGUAACUAUGCACGUCUUGACGGUACCUAAUCAGAAAGCCACGGCUAACUACGU
This 496-nucleotide ribosomal RNA is filed under the name uncultured bacterium. RNAcentral's name for it is "partial 16S ribosomal RNA". It matches the Rfam family "Bacterial small subunit ribosomal RNA", at positions 28 to 506 of the family's 1533-position model. The record is from RNAcentral.